AGUCACUGACAUUAGAUACCCCCGUAGUCCCAGCCGUAAACAAUGUGCGUUAGGUAUGUCGGUAACCACGUGUUACUGAUGUGCCGAAGAGAAAUCGUGAAACGCACCACCUGGGAAGUACGGUCGCAAGGCUGAAACUUAAAGGAAUUGGCGGGGAGCACCACAACGGGUGGAGCCUGCGGUUUAAUUGGACUCAACGCCGGGAAGCUCACCGGAUAAGACAGCGGAAUGAUUGCCGGGCUGAAGACCCUGCAUGACCAGCUG
RNAcentral lists this ribosomal RNA (264 nucleotides) under uncultured archaeon. RNAcentral describes it as "partial 16S ribosomal RNA". It matches the Rfam family "Archaeal small subunit ribosomal RNA", at positions 718 to 982 of the family's 1478-position model. The record is from RNAcentral.